RNAcentral lists this ribosomal RNA (430 nucleotides) under uncultured Syntrophaceae bacterium. RNAcentral describes it as "bacterial SSU rRNA". It matches the Rfam family "Bacterial small subunit ribosomal RNA", at positions 952 to 1382 of the family's 1533-position model. The record is from RNAcentral. Lineage: Bacteria; Pseudomonadati; Thermodesulfobacteriota; Syntrophia; Syntrophales; Syntrophaceae.
CGAUGCAACGCGAAGAACCUUACCUGGGCUUGACAUCCCAAGAAUCCCCUGGAAACAGGGGAGUGCCCUUCGGGAGCUUGGAGACAGGUGCUGCAUGGCUGUCGUCAGCUCGUGUCGUGAGAUGUUGGGUUAAGUCCCGCAACGAGCGCAACCCUUGCCUUUAGUUGCCAUCAUUCAGUUGGGCACUCUAGAGGGACUGCCGGUGUCAAACCGGAGGAAGGUGGGGAUGACGUCAAGUCCUCAUGGCCUUUAUGCCCAGGGCUACACACGUGCUACAAUGGGCGGUACAAAGAGCAGCGAGCUCGCGAGAGUAAGCAAAUCUCAAAAAGCCGUCCUCAGUUCGGAUUGGAGUCUGCAACUCGACUCCAUGAAGUUGGAAUCGCUAGUAAUCGCGGAUCAGCAUGCCGCGGUGAAUGCGUUCCCGGGCCUU